GACACUCCACUAGUCAGGGAAAUGAGGUGGAACCAGCAAAGAAGACAGAAACAACAGCCACAGAGCUAAAAAGGAGAAGCAAGUGAGUCUCCAAAACUAAGUGAAAAAGAUGUGUUUUGAAGAAAAGGGAGUGAGCAACUGUGUUGAGUGCUGAAGACAGGUCAAGUAUAAAGAGGGCUGAGAUUGGACCACUGGAUUUGGCAGCAUGGAGGUACCUGAUGCCACCAAUUCCUGAGUUUUUCUGCUGUUCAGUGGAGUGGACUAUCGCCUUCAAAUUAGCCUGGCCCUGGGCAGGAAGAGAGAGUACCUGGAUCACCAUGGCAAAAUCGGAGAAGGCGUCACAGAAGAGGAAGAUACGUAUGCGCUUCUUAAUGUGGCAUCAUCUCUAACAAAAUACUUGCAUAAUGCACAUACAUCAGCCACAGUGCCUGGGUCAGCCUCCACGGUAUCUUCAGGGAAAUGAAGACCCUGAAUCAGCCCAUCAGAAGCAGGAGAUCCCUUUCGUCGACCUUCUCAUUCCAUCUCUAUGCUGGAGCAUUCUUGUGACCUAACCAUAUUGAAACUGCCUUUGCAAAAUAUGACUGAGACAGUGAAAGAGGGACGCCCAUUGCCAUGGCUUGAGGCCUAGAGAAGAGGCCCAUGAGGCAAGGAACUGAAGUCUUCUUCAGUCUUCCUACAUCCAGCAAGGAACUCAGGUCUUUUCAAUGAGUGCAGUCAGCUACCACUCUUGCCAAGAGCCAUGAGUGUCUGUCAUCUUAGAAGCCAAUCCUCCAUCCCAAUCAAGCCUUCAGAUGACUGCAGGCUUGGCCAACAUCUUGUCUACAACUUCACGAGACACUCUUUCCCUGGGCCAAGCAGAAUCUGUGCACAACCAUGCAUUCUAGAGCUUAGGACAAAGCACAAGUCUACUGUCUAGCAUCUGCCUGUGGCCUAGGCCAUCUCCG
Molecule: long non-coding RNA, 944 nt
Filed under: Homo sapiens (human)
Lineage: Eukaryota; Metazoa; Chordata; Mammalia; Primates; Hominidae
Description: HSALNT0031386
Source: RNAcentral